This 429-nucleotide ribosomal RNA is filed under the name Bacteroidota bacterium. RNAcentral's name for it is "Bacteroidetes bacterium partial 16S ribosomal RNA". It matches the Rfam family "Bacterial small subunit ribosomal RNA", at positions 355 to 776 of the family's 1533-position model. The record is from RNAcentral. Lineage: Bacteria; Pseudomonadati; Bacteroidota.
UAGGGAAUCUUCGGCAAUGGGGGGAACCCUGACCGAGCAACGCCGCGUGAGUGAAGAAGGUUUUCGGAUCGUAAAGCUCUGUUGUUAAGGAAGAACGAGUGUGAGAAUGGAAAGUUCAUGCUGUGACGGUACUUAACCAGAAAGGGACGGCUAACUACGUGCCAGCAGCCGCGGUAAUACGUAGGUCCCGAGCGUUGUCCGGAUUUAUUGGGCGUAAAGCGAGCGCAGGCGGUUAGAAAAGUCUGAAGUGAAAGGCAGUGGCUCAACCAUUGUAGGCUUUGGAAACUGUUUAACUUGAGUGCAGAAGGGGAGAGUGGAAUUCCAUGUGUAGCGGUGAAAUGCGUAGAUAUAUGGAGGAACACCGGUGGCGAAAGCGGCUCUCUGGUCUGUAACUGACGCUGAAGCUCGAAAGCGUGGGGAGCGAACAGG